UGGCGAGGUAGCUCAGGUGGUUAGAGCGUUGGAUUCAUAACCCAAAGGUCACGGGUUCAAAUCCCGUCUUCGCUACAAA
This 79-nucleotide transfer RNA is filed under the name Capnocytophaga sputigena ATCC 33612. RNAcentral's name for it is "tRNA-Met". It matches the Rfam family "tRNA". Rfam says of the family: Transfer RNA (tRNA) molecules are approximately 80 nucleotides in length. Their secondary structure includes four short double-helical elements and three loops (D, anti-codon, and T loops). The record is from RNAcentral. Lineage: Bacteria; Pseudomonadati; Bacteroidota; Flavobacteriia; Flavobacteriales; Flavobacteriaceae.